GUGAAAAGGCUUCGGGCUCAACCGGAAGAAAGUGCCUUCGGAAACCUGGGAAACCUUGAGUUCCAGAAGGAGAACAGUGGAACUUCCAUGUGUAGCGGUGAAAUGGCGUAGAUAUUAUGGAAGAACCCCCAGUGGCGAAGGGCGGCUGUCUGGUUCUGUAACUGACGCUGAGGCUCGAAAGUAUGGGUAGCGCACACAGGAUUAGAUACCCUGGUAGUCCAUACCGUAAACGAUGAAUGCUAAGUGUUGGAGGGUUUCCGCCCUUCAGUGCUGCAGCUAACGCAUUAAGCAUUCCGCCUGGGGAGUACGGCCGCAAGGCUGAAACUCAAAGGAAUUGACGGGGGCCCGCACAAGCGGUGGAGCAUGUGGUUUAAUUCGAAGCUACGCGAAGAACCUUACCAGGUCUUGACAUACUAUGCAAAUCUAAGAGAUUAGACGUUCCCUUCGGGGACAUGGAUACAGGUGGUGCAUGGUUGUCGUCAGCUCGUGUCGUGAGAUGUUGGGUUAAGUCCCGCAACGAGCGCAACCCUUAUUAUCAGUUGCCAGCAUUAAGUUGGGCACUCUGGUGAGACUGCCGGUGACAAACCGGAGGAAGGUGGGGAUGACGUCAAAUCAUCAUGCCCCUUAUGACCUGGGCUACACACGUGCUACAAUGGAUGGUACAACGAGUUGCGAACUCGCGAGAGUAAGCUAAUCUCUUAAAGCCAUUCUCAGUUCGGAUUGUAGGCUGCAACUCGCCUACAUGAAGUCGGAAUCGCUAGUAAUCGCGGAUCAGCAUGCCGCGGUGAAUACGUUCCCGGGCCUUGUACACACCGCCCGUCACACCAUGAGAGUUUGUAACACCCAAAGUCGGUGGGGUAACCUUUUAGGAACCAGCCGCCUAAGGUGACAGAGAUGGCG
RNAcentral lists this ribosomal RNA (900 nucleotides) under Lactiplantibacillus plantarum. RNAcentral's name for it is "bacterial SSU rRNA". It matches the Rfam family "Bacterial small subunit ribosomal RNA", at positions 594 to 1477 of the family's 1533-position model. The record is from RNAcentral. Lineage: Bacteria; Bacillati; Bacillota; Bacilli; Lactobacillales; Lactobacillaceae.